This 375-nucleotide ribosomal RNA is filed under the name uncultured eukaryote. Its description in RNAcentral is "SSU rRNA". It matches the Rfam family "Eukaryotic small subunit ribosomal RNA", at positions 587 to 972 of the family's 1831-position model. The record is from RNAcentral.
AGCUCCAAUAGCGUAUAUUAAAGUUGUUGCAGUUAAAAGCUCGUAGUUGGAUUUCUGGUGUGUGAGUAUUGCGUCCUUGAAUGUGUACCGAUGUUCGCCGCCAUCUUGGGGACUACUUUGUAAGGACGUUAAUUCGUUUUUAUGAGUGCCCCUCCUUAACUGUGAAAAAAUUAGAGUGUUCAAAGCAGACAAAAUGUCGUGAAUACAUUAGCAUGGAAUUAUACCAAAAGGUAGGAAUUUGUGAGUCUCACCACUCCUGUUCCCACAAUGAUCAACAGGAUCAAACGAGGGUAGAAGUACUCAAUUGUCAGAGGUGAAAUUCUUGGAUUUUUUGACGACUCCCUAAAGCGAAAGCAUCUACCAAGCAUGUUUCCA